RNAcentral lists this ribosomal RNA (446 nucleotides) under Pygolampis pectoralis. RNAcentral's name for it is "partial large subunit ribosomal RNA". It matches the Rfam family "Bacterial large subunit ribosomal RNA", at positions 1945 to 2600 of the family's 2925-position model. The record is from RNAcentral. Lineage: Eukaryota; Metazoa; Arthropoda; Insecta; Hemiptera; Reduviidae.
ACCGUGCUAAGGUAGCAUAAUCAUUUGUCUUUUAAUUAAGGGCUGGAAUGAAGGGUUGGACGAGGUAUCAACUUUCUUUAAUUUAUUUGUAGAAUUUAAUUUUUGAGUGAAAAAGCUUAAAUUUUUUUGUUAGACGAGAAGACCCUAUAGAUCUUUAUAUUUUAUUUAUUUAUAUUAUUUAGUGAAUUAAUGUUUACAAAUAUUAUAAAAUAUUUGAUUGGGGUGAUUAUAGAAUUAAAAUAACUUCUAUUAUUUAUUAAUCAUAAAUUUAUGUUUGCGUGAUCCAAUUUUUUUGAUUAUAAGAUUAAGUUACCUUAGGGAUAACAGCGUAAUUUUUGCGGAGAGUUCAUAUCGAUGCAGGAGUUUGCGACCUCGAUGUUGGAUUAAAAUAAGUUUUGAAUGUAGCAGUUUAACAACUAGGUCUGUUCGACCUUUUAAUUUUUACA